ACUCCUGCGGGAGGCAGCAGUGGGGAAUAUUGGACAAUGGGCGCAAGCCUGAUCCAGCCAUGCCGCGUGAGUGAUGAAGGCCCUAGGGUUGUAAAGCUCUUUCACCGGUGAAGAUAAUGACGGUAACCGGAGAAGAAGCCCCGGCUAACUUCGUGCCAGCAGCCGCGGUAAUACGAAGGGGGCUAGCGUUGUUCGGAUUUACUGGGCGUAAAGCGCACGUAGGCGGACUAUUAAGUCAGGGGUGAAAUCCCGGGGCUCAACCCCGGAACUGCCUUUGAUACUGGUAGUCUUGAGUUCGAGAGAGGUGAGUGGAAUUCCGAGUGUAGAGGUGAAAUUCGUAGAUAUUCGGAGGAACACCAGUGGCGAAGGCGGCUCACUGGCUCGAUACUGACGCUGAGGUGCGAAAGCGUGGGGAGCAAACAGGAUUAGAUACCCUAGUAGUCCCAUG
This 448-nucleotide ribosomal RNA is filed under the name uncultured organism. RNAcentral describes it as "partial 16S ribosomal RNA". It matches the Rfam family "Bacterial small subunit ribosomal RNA", at positions 335 to 799 of the family's 1533-position model. The record is from RNAcentral.